CCUACGGGAGGCAGCAGUGAGGAAUAUUGGUCAAUGGGCGCUAGCCUGAACCAGCCAAGUAGCGUGAAGGAUGACUGCCCUAUGGGUUGUAAACUUCUUUUUUAUGGGAAUAAAGUGCAGUAUGUAUACUGCUCUGCAUUUACCUUAUGAUUAAGGAUCGGCUAACUCCUUCCCAGAGGCCGCGGUAAUACGGAGGAUCCGAGCGUUAUCCGGUUUUAUUGGGUUGAAAGGUAGCGUAGGAGGGUUGUUAAUUCGGUUGGGAAUGUUUGCGGCACAACGGUAGAAUUGCAGUUGAUACUGGCAUCCUGGAGUGCGGAAGAGGUAGGAGGAAUUCGUGGUGUAGCGGUGAAAUGCUUAGAUAUCACGAAGAACUCCGAUUGCGAAGGCAGCCUGCUGGACUGUAACUGACGCUGAUGCACGAAAGUGUGGGUAUCAAACAGGAUUAGAUACCCGGGUAGUC
This 460-nucleotide ribosomal RNA is filed under the name uncultured bacterium. Its description in RNAcentral is "partial 16S ribosomal RNA". It matches the Rfam family "Bacterial small subunit ribosomal RNA", at positions 338 to 795 of the family's 1533-position model. The record is from RNAcentral.